UACGAGGGGUGCAAGCGUUAAUCGGAAUUACUGGGCGUAAAGCGUGCGUAGGUGGUUUGUUAAGCAAGAUGUGAAAGCCCCGGGCUCAACCUGGGAACUGCAUUUUGAACUGGCAAGCUAGAGUAUUGUAGAGGGUAGUGGAAUUUCCAGUGUAGCGGUGAAAUGCGUAGAGAUUGGAAGGAACAUCAGUGGCGAAGGCGGCUACCUGGACAAAUACUGACACUGAGGCACGAAAGCGUGGGGAGCAAACAGG
This 253-nucleotide ribosomal RNA is filed under the name uncultured bacterium. RNAcentral describes it as "partial 16S ribosomal RNA". It matches the Rfam family "Bacterial small subunit ribosomal RNA", at positions 524 to 776 of the family's 1533-position model. The record is from RNAcentral.